RNAcentral lists this non-coding RNA (45 nucleotides) under Echinostoma caproni. The record is from RNAcentral. Lineage: Eukaryota; Metazoa; Platyhelminthes; Trematoda; Plagiorchiida; Echinostomatidae.
GCACUGUUGACGAGUCCUAAAUAGGACGAAACAGCUGUUCAGUGC